RNAcentral lists this long non-coding RNA (303 nucleotides) under Lotus japonicus. RNAcentral describes it as "long non-coding RNA (LJAP_LNC001731)". Lineage: Eukaryota; Viridiplantae; Streptophyta; Magnoliopsida; Fabales; Fabaceae. The record is from RNAcentral.
CAGGGAGUCAUUGAACAAGAAAAUAGGCAAACUAAAUUCUGCCAUUGAUGAUGUUUCUUCACGUUUGAGAGGUGCCAAGAACGUGCCUGCUUCACAUGUAGGAAGUGACCCUGAAGUAGAAUCUACCUUGUGAGGACACCUCCUGUAGAAUCUACCUCCACAUUGACCCUGAUGCAAUAAUGUUUGAAGUAGUGGAAUUUCAGGAACUGAAGACCAUAUUCAUGUUAUCUUGCCUGAUUUUUUUCUUUUUAUGCUUUGAAACAGUGUUAUAAAACUUAGACAGGUCAUUGACAGAGUUAAAUG